RNAcentral lists this ribosomal RNA (433 nucleotides) under uncultured bacterium. RNAcentral describes it as "partial 16S ribosomal RNA". It matches the Rfam family "Bacterial small subunit ribosomal RNA", at positions 29 to 507 of the family's 1533-position model. The record is from RNAcentral.
AACGAACGCUGGCGGCAUGCCUAACACAUGCAAGUCGAACGAGACCUUCGGGUCUAGUGGCGCACGGGUGCGUAACGCGUGGGAACCUGCCCUUAGGUUCGGAAUAACUCCCCGAAAGGGGUGCUAAUACCGGAUAAUCUCUUCGGACCAAAGAUUUAUCGCCUGUGGAUGGGCCCGCGUUGGAUUAGCUAGUUGGUAGGGUAAAAGCCUACCAAGGCGACGUUCCAUAGCUGGUCUGAGAGGAUGAUCAGCCACACUGGGACUGAGACACGGCCCAGACUCCUACGGGAGGCAGCAGUGGGGAAUAUUGGACAAUGGGCGAAAGCCUGAUCCAGCAAUGCCGCGUGAGUGAGGAAGGCCUUAGGGUUGUAAAGCUCUUUUACCCGGGAUGAUAAUGACAGUACCGGGAGAAUAAGCACCGGCUAACUCCGUG